UACGUAGGGGGCGAGCGUUGUCCGGAGUUACUGGGCGUAAAGCGCACGCAGGCGGUCUGCUAAGUUUGGAGUGACAGUUGGUGGCUUAACUGCCAAAGUGCUUCGAAAACUGACAGACUUGAGGGCUUCAGAGGGACACGGAAUUCCGGGUGGAGUGGUGAAAUGCGUAGAUAUCGGGAGGAACACCUGUGGCGAAAGCGGCUCACUGGACCACAACUGACGCUGAGGCGCGAAAGCUAGGGGAGCAAACAGG
This 253-nucleotide ribosomal RNA is filed under the name uncultured bacterium. RNAcentral's name for it is "partial 16S ribosomal RNA". It matches the Rfam family "Bacterial small subunit ribosomal RNA", at positions 524 to 776 of the family's 1533-position model. The record is from RNAcentral.